AUCCCCUCCUCCAUCAUCGACAUCUUUCUUUCUUCUUCCUGUUCCCUCCUCCCCUUCUUUCUCACUCAUUUCUCCUCCUCCAUGAUGACUUCCUCUACCUUUUCCUCUUCCUUGCCGAUGACCCCUCUUUUCCCUCCUUCCCUUCAUUCUUAUCCACUUCUUCUUCUCAUCCUCCUUCUCUUCCUCCAAACUCAUGCAUGCGUAGCCCUUCUCCUCCAUGAUAACUUCUUCUACCUCCAACCAUUCUUCGUCAGUCAUCCCUUCAACCCCCUUCUUCUCUUCCUCCUCGUCCAUUUCUCUUCCUCAACCUUCUCUUCGUUUAAGCCAUCCAUAAGCCAUCCCCCUCG
Molecule: long non-coding RNA, 347 nt
Filed under: Elaeis guineensis (African oil palm)
Lineage: Eukaryota; Viridiplantae; Streptophyta; Magnoliopsida; Arecales; Arecaceae
Description: long non-coding RNA (EGUI_LNC047506)
Source: RNAcentral